UUAAAAUUGAGGUGAACUGUUCAAAUUUAUAAUGGAGAAAUAAUUAUUUAUAACCUUUUGAUAUUUUAUAAUUCUUUUAUAGUCAACCAUCAAUGCAGUGAUUGAGUUCUUUGGAUCAAACAAGGGGUUGCAUCUUGAGCAGAUAACAUCAGCUACAUUGACAAAGUUGGAAAAAAUUAAAGAGAGAAACAGCUGCAGGUGAAUUUGAUUGUCUAUGAGCUCUUAAUCUGCCACUCCCAGCCCAGCAGGCCCAGCCCCCGAGGACGCGGCUGCUGGCGAAAACUGCACUCCUCGGCUCUGGCCCUGCACUCCUCAGUCCUCCCCCUUCGCCUGGCUGCCCGGCCACCGCCCAACCCCAGCGUGACUCAGCUGGACCUGACUCUGACCCGUGACCAGGCGCAACCAUCAGGGGCAAGGACGCGUGCCACACAGACAGGGACCCGCGAUUUCAGGCUGCGCCUUCUCUCCGGCAUCCGCACUGCCUGUGGCUUCUGCGCGCAGCUGGAGCGUCCUCACAAGUGCCCCAAGGGGUCGGACACAUGCUGCCACCAUGUUGCUGUGGCCGCCUGCUGCCGGCGCUGAUGGG
This 586-nucleotide long non-coding RNA is filed under the name Castor canadensis (American beaver). Its description in RNAcentral is "lncRNA (ENSCCNG00000024249.1)". Lineage: Eukaryota; Metazoa; Chordata; Mammalia; Rodentia; Castoridae. The record is from RNAcentral.